GUCGAGUAAAGUGGCGCACGGGUGAGUAACGCGUAGAUAACCUGUCUUCAUGUCUGGAAUAAUACGCCGAAAGGGGUACUAAUACCGGAUAUUCUUGCUUUUCAUAAGUUAUGCAAGCAAAGGUGGCCUCUGCAUAUGCUACUGCAUGAAGAGGGGUCUGCGUACCAUUAGCUAGUAGGUGGGGUAAUGGCCUACCUAGGCGACGAUGGUUAGCGGGUCUGAGAGGAUGAUCCGCCACACUGGCACUGGAACACGGGCCAGACUCCUACGGGAGGCAGCAGUGAGGAAUAUUGCGCAAUGGGGGAAACCCUGACGCAGCGACGCCGCGUGAGUGAGGAAGGCCUUCGGGUCGUAAAGCUCUGUCAAGAGGAAAGAAGUGUACAAUGGCUAAUACCUGUUGUAUUUGACGGUACCUCUAAAGGAAGCACCGGCUAACUCCGUGCCAGCCGCCGC
Molecule: ribosomal RNA, 453 nt
Filed under: uncultured bacterium
Lineage: Bacteria
Description: bacterial SSU rRNA
Rfam family: Bacterial small subunit ribosomal RNA
Source: RNAcentral